AUCCGGUUGGCGAGUCCUAAACAGGGCGAAAUGCGUAUCCUGGAU
RNAcentral lists this non-coding RNA (45 nucleotides) under Trichobilharzia regenti. Lineage: Eukaryota; Metazoa; Platyhelminthes; Trematoda; Strigeidida; Schistosomatidae. The record is from RNAcentral.